CGCGGGCAGCAAUAAUGGGGCGAGAAUUUAUGGUCUUCUUUGUGUAACCGUCCUCCGUGUUGCCGCCUCAUCUUCUCCACGAGACCCUCUUACUCCUCCGUGCUUUCAUUUCUCCCAGUCCCCCGUCAUUGCUCGCCACCGUCCCGCCUCGGCGCCUCUUCGCUUUAAUUCCUUUCCGCCCUCGCGAUUCGGCGCGGGGAGUCUGCUCCGCUUCGGUUCGCUGCUCCUCUAGCAUUUCCUUUUUGGUUGUUUUCAGGUGGAAGCCUUCAUGAACCAGAUCGCCCGCAACCAGAUGCGCUUCUACGAUCUGUCCUACAAGCUGCUCGGCCGCGUCAUAAACGUAGAGUUCAAGGUGCGUCCUCACCCCCUCCUUUUUUCGCCCAAUCUCGAGUCCAAUUUCGCUCCGCGUCCAGGAAUUUUCUUCAACUGUUUGCGCGGCUCAGAAAUUCGAUUCGGUUUGCUCACUUGGUUCUGUGGAAUUUUGCCAAGCGAAGGCCGACACCGAUGAAGACUACGCGCAGGAUAUGAUCCAGUCGCCUCCCACACAAGAGCUCGCGCAAAGGAUCUGCAUGGCAUGGACUUGCGCAGUUGCGCUUCCACCACAUCUUCAGUGGUCACUUUUGUUCCUUUGGCUUAACAUGUGAGAUCUCUAGCAGUUUUACAGCGCUAGGUAGUAUGCCAGUAUGAUCUGAAGCUGAUUAAUCCAGCAGACCAUUUUGUUGUACGUUGUAGCUUAAUUAGCCAGCAAUACACCAAAUCUGUCUACAAAUUGAAGGACAACCUAGGAGGCAUCUCCUUCAGAGUGGUUGGAGUGUGUUUGUCGAUUCCAAAAUGCUUGUUCCUGAGGAUGCCUUCAUUUUCCUCAGAGAGAGUGGUGAGCUUCGUGUUGGUGUUAGGAGGGCUAUGAGACAGUUUUCCAGUGUGCCUUUAUCAGUCAUAUCUAGCCAUAGUAUGCACCUUGGAGUACUUCACAAGCGGAGCAGCUGGUGGAUAGUCAACUGCGUGGCAGUGACGGGCUCAGGUCAAACAAGGGCACGCUUGAGGUGGAACACAUGGCCGCGUUGCAUCUUGUUCUCAAUCUUCCAGCGAACAACGAGGGCGGUUCAUUGACCAGUUUAUUAACAACCUGGUUUGCCGGAGAAGUUGCCCAUCUUAUUCAAGUUGCACCUUUGCUCCAGAGGUAUUUUACUGAUAAAAUAGGUUCAUGACCUUGCUCAUUCUUAGACUAUUUUUUCUUCUUUAUGUCCGCAAUACUUGGAGCAACUAAUUGACUUGAAAAUAAUGGCUCUGGGAGCAAUUUCAAUUACUUUCAGAACGAUAUGCUACCUCAUCAUAUUAUUGGAAAUAUGCUGAAUAUGGUCAUUGGUGCAACUUUAGGAAUUGCAUUCUUACAUGCAUUAGAUAACCAAGUUCUUUAUUGUGGCAUCAAGGCUUCCAAUAUUUUUGUAGAAGCGGUAAGAUUUCUACUAUUCAAUAAGACAGAGGUGAGGCUUGAACUCCGUCCGGCUAGCUCAGCAGCACAUUAGCUAACCAGUAAUACAUGGAGUCUUUCUCACUAUUCAACAUGACUCAUUUCUGCCAUCUGUUCAUCAACGUCAAGUGCUCAGAACAUAUGCAUUUCUUGAGCCUCAACAUACAUUAAGAAUAUACUUUAGAAGACUUAUCAGCAACUGGCACUCAGUGCUCUUAAAGAUAGGCCGAUGAGAAAUAAUGCGGCACACAUUGUUUCAAAUUACUUUAGACUUAAUUAUCUUACUAUACUAUCUCGUUUUUAAUAUGCCAGAGAGAAAAAGAUUUGCCAUUUUUAGACAGGUUACGAAAUUCAUAAAAAAUGUUUUUGAAAUUAUGAAUCAGAAGCAUCUAGAUUACUUACAAGAAUAUCUUUGUAGCUCAUGAAUUAUUUUGCAAUGGAUGAAAAUUAAAAAGGAAAUAUGUCAUUAGUUUGCUUCUCCUAAAGUAAGAGGUUAUGUCCAAGUUUGGACUUUGUGGCCAUAUAUACAACCUGGAAUUCGCAACUCAUUUUCAUGGUACAAACUUUGGAAGGGAAUGCAGAGCCUAAGUGCAAACUGGACACGUGGCUCCUCUUACACAUGGAGGCAUUGACGACUGACAGGCUGACGGUUAGAGGAAGCGAUUACGAUUUAAGACUAGGCCUUGACGUCUUACUGUCUUAGCAACACAGAGUUUCUGCCUUUACGGUAAAAAAGUAUAUUCUAGAAGUAAUGUCUUUACAAUAGGUUUUCAUUACCAUGUUUGUGCAGUACAUACCUUAGCACGCCAUUAUCCUUUUACUUCAGAUUCUAUAUGGUUGGACCGAACCAACUUCUCAUGUUGUAUUCUUCUUUGGUUGCAGAAACUCAGGUAGUGAUUUUCUUUUUAAAUUAGCCCAUGGCCAUGGGGUGUUGUCCCAGAAAAAGAGUGACGGUAUCUUUCUUGCUUUUACUAGGGAUCAACCUCAAAUGUUGUAUGUUUAGGACAAAAUAAAGGAUCAAAUUGCAAGAUUUUAUGUGUUUAGUUGUGGUGCAUGUUGAUGUUACUGCUCCAUUAAGCUAAUUGCCAGAGGGGUAGUGUUAAAUAAAACCACUUCACGAUGGCUACUUCAGGUAAUUUGUUAGCGCCUUAUACCUAUUAUUGUAUAGCAAUCAGUUUUGUUUUCAUCCAAAGUAGUGUAUCAAAUUGUUAUUUUGUUUUAUCCAGAGGGGAGCAUACCAACAAGUUGAUAUUUAGCGGAUUUUUGUCUUCCUUGUAUUGUAAUUUGAAAUGAAGAAUUCUAAAGUUUUGUGCCUUAUUGUUCCCGCGUUAUGGUUUGGGAUGAACAAUCCUCAUGUUCUUAAGAUUAUUAGACUAAUUUUUCUUCACUUGAUAUUGUAUAUGCUCUUCAUGGGAUUAAGAGUACUUUGUUAAGAUCUUUUUGGCGGAUGGUUCUUCAUA
Non-coding RNA from Lolium perenne, 2931 nucleotides. The record is from RefSeq and is a predicted model, not a curated record. Lineage: Eukaryota; Viridiplantae; Streptophyta; Magnoliopsida; Poales; Poaceae.